CGCCUGGUUGCCAGGGAACUGGUGAGCCGGAAGCCCCGCCCGCUGAGCUGUUGUUGUGACGGUGACAGGCCCGGCCCGACCUGGUACCAACCCCCCGGCCGGACCUCCGGGCACCGACCCCCGCUGGCUCCGCUUCGCCCCGCACCAUGAAGUGGAUGUUCAAGGAGGAUCAUGCGCUGGAGCACAGAUGUGUAGAGUCUGCAAAAAUCCGAGCCAAAUACCCAGACCGUGUGCCGGUCAUUGUGGAAAAGGUCUCAGGCUCUCAGAUUGUUGACAUUGAUAAGAGGAAGUAUCUGGUUCCGUCUGACAUCACUGUGGCCCAAUUCAUGUGGAUCAUCAGGAAGAGGAUUCAACUGCCAUCUGAGAAAGCAAUAUUCCUCUUUGUAGACAAGACUGUCCCACAGUCCAGCACCAAGCCUGAUACCAACAGUUCCACUGAGAAUGUUAAGGUUGCAUGAUUAAAUGCUCAAAAGUGAAUACCAGUGUCAGGAUUCUUGGAACAACCCUUAAAUCUGCCCCCUGCCUAACUAUGGGACAGCUUUAUGAGAAGGAGAAGGAUGAGGAUGGAUUCUUGUAUGUGGCCUACAGUGGAGAAAACACAUUUGGCUUCUGAAUGCUGGUGUCUGGCUGCUGCACCAUCCUGCUAUGUAUCUUGUAAAUAGCCAAUUGUUUUCAGUUAUGACACCCACAGAGGUUUCUCCCAUACACAUCAUGCAUUUGUAACUGGAUUAAUUUCCUAAUAUAUUGAUAGGCCUUGUUUUAUUAGACUGGUAAAUUAUCGGGAUUUUUUCCUUUAUUGUGCAUUGUCCUCAUAGCUAUAAGUUCCCAGAGCCUCACCCCUCUGGAACACAUAUUUAAUGACAUUGUUUAUAUAUUGACGCAAAGUAGUUGGGCUACUAAAACAUGAAAAAGAGGAACAUGCAUUUAUUCUGGAUUUAGUUUGAGGUGUUAGCUUGACAAGAAUUAAAAUAUUAAUUAUUCUUAGGAACAACACUGGCUUCACUAGGUUAUUCUGAGCAGUAGCAAGAUGCUUAGCAUAUUGAACUAAGUUAAUGUUCCUCUUUCUGAAUUCUAUUAAGGAAUAACUACAAUAAAAAUUCCUCCCACACACAUGUUGUGUGGCCAAUGUC
Mauremys reevesii (Reeves's turtle) is the source of this 1130-nucleotide RNA transcript. It is a transcript of the gene named GABA type A receptor associated protein like 2, with no coding region annotated. The record is from RefSeq and is a predicted model, not a curated record. Lineage: Eukaryota; Metazoa; Chordata; Testudines; Geoemydidae. The transcript is spliced from 5 exons.